CCUACGGGAGGCAGCAGUGGGGAAUAUUGGGCAAUGGGCGCAAGCCUGACCCAGCAACGCCGCGUGAAGGAAGAAGGCUCUCGGGUUGUAAACUUCUUUUCUCAGGGACGCAGAAAGUGACGGUACCUGCGGAAUAAGCCACGGCUAACAACGUGCCAGCAGCCGCGGUAAUACGUCGGUGGCAAGCGUUAUCCGGAUUUACUGGGUGUAAAGGGCGGGUAGGCGGGAAAGCAGGUCAGAUGGGAAAACCAUGGACUCAACCUGCGGCCUGCAUUUGAAACUGGUAUUCUUGAGUACUGGAGAGGCAGACGGAAUUCGUGGUGUAGCGGUGAAAUGCGUAGAUAUGGGGAGGAACACCAGUGGCGAAGGCGGGCUGCUGGACAGCAACUGACGCUGAGGCGCGAAAGCGUGGGGAGCGAACAGGAUUAGAUACCCUUGUAGUC
RNAcentral lists this ribosomal RNA (443 nucleotides) under uncultured bacterium. Its description in RNAcentral is "partial 16S ribosomal RNA". It matches the Rfam family "Bacterial small subunit ribosomal RNA", at positions 338 to 795 of the family's 1533-position model. The record is from RNAcentral.